UAAGGGCGCACGGUGGAUGCCUUGGCACUAGAAGCCGAUGAAGGACGUUACUAACGACGAUAUGCUUUGGGGAGCUGUAAGUAAGCUUUGAUCCAGAGAUUUCCGAAUGGGGAAACCCAGCAUGAGUUAUGUCAUGUUAUCGAUAUGUGAAUACAUAGCAUAUCAGAAGGCACACCCGGAGAACUGAAACAUCUUAGUACCCGGAGGAAGAGAAAGAAAAUUCGAUUCCCUUAGUAGCGGCGAGCGAAACGGGAAGAGCCCAAACCAACAAGCUUGCUUGUUGGGGUUGUAGGACACUCUAUACGGAGUUACAAAGGACGACAUUAGACGAAUCAUCUGGAAAGAUGAAUCAAAGAAGGUAAUAAUCCUGUAGUCGAAAAUGUUGUCUCUCUUGAGUGGAUCCUGAGUACGACGGAGCACGUGAAAUUCCGUCGGAAUCUGGGAGGACCAUCUCCUAAGGCUAAAUACUCUCUAGUGACCGAUAGUGAACCAGUACCGUGAGGGAAAGGUGAAAAGCACCCCGGAAGGGGAGUGAAAUAGAACCUGAAACCGUGUGCUUACAAGUAGUCAGAGCCCGUUAAUGGGUGAUGGCGUGCCUUUUGUAGAAUGAACCGGCGAGUUACGAUUUGAUGCAAGGUUAAGCAGUAAAUGUGGAGCCGUAGCGAAAGCGAGUCUGAAUAGGGCGUUUAGUAUUUGGUCGUAGACCCGAAACCAGGUGAUCUACCCUUGGUCAGGUUGAAGUUCAGGUAACACUGAAUGGAGGACCGAACCGACUUACGUUGAAAAGUGAGCGGAUGAACUGAGGGUAGCGGAGAAAUUCCAAUCGAACCUGGAGAUAGCUGGUUCUCUCCGAAAUAGCUUUAGGGCUAGCCUCAAGUGAUGAUUAUUGGAGGUAGAGCACUGUUUGGACGAGGGGCCCCUCUCGGGUUACCGAAUUCAGACAAACUCCGAAUGCCAAUUAAUUUAACUUGGGAGUCAGAACAUGGGUGAUAAGGUCCGUGUUCGAAAGGGAAACAGCCCAGACCACCAGCUAAGGUCCCAAAAUAUAUGUUAAGUGGAAAAGGAUGUGGCGUUGCCCAGACAACUAGGAUGUUGGCUUAGAAGCAGCCAUCAUUUAAAGAGUGCGUAAUAGCUCACUAGUCGAGUGACACUGCGCCGAAAAUGUACCGGGGCUAAACAUAUUACCGAAGCUGUGGAUUGUCCUUUGGACAAUGGUAGGAGAGCGUUCUAAGGGCGUUGAAGCAUGAUCGUAAGGACAUGUGGAGCGCUUAGAAGUGAGAAUGCCGGUGUGAGUAGCGAAAGACGGGUGAGAAUCCCGUCCACCGAUUGACUAAGGUUUCCAGAGGAAGGCUCGUCCGCUCUGGGUUAGUCGGGUCCUAAGCUGAGGCCGACAGGCGUAGGCGAUGGAUAACAGGUUGAUAUUCCUGUACCACCUAUAAUCGUUUUAAUCGAUGGGGGGACGCAGUAGGAUAGGCGAAGCGUGCGAUUGGAUUGCACGUCUAAGCAGUAAGGCUGAGUAUUAGGCAAAUCCGGUACUCGUUAAGGCUGAGCUGUGAUGGGGAGAAGACAUUGUGUCUUCGAGUCGUUGAUUUCACACUGCCGAGAAAAGCCUCUAGAUAGAAAAUAGGUGCCCGUACCGCAAACCGACACAGGUAGUCAAGAUGAGAAUUCUAAGGUGAGCGAGCGAACUCUCGUUAAGGAACUCGGCAAAAUGACCCCGUAACUUCGGGAGAAGGGGUGCUCUUUAGGGUUAACGCCCAGAAGAGCCGCAGUGAAUAGGCCCAAGCGACUGUUUAUCAAAAACACAGGUCUCUGCUAAACCGUAAGGUGAUGUAUAGGGGCUGACGCCUGCCCGGUGCUGGAAGGUUAAGAGGAGUGGUUAGCUUCUGCGAAGCUACGAAUCGAAGCCCCAGUAAACGGCGGCCGUAACUAUAACGGUCCUAAGGUAGCGAAAUUCCUUGUCGGGUAAGUUCCGACCCGCACGAAAGGCGUAACGAUUUGGGCACUGUCUCAACGAGAGACUCGGUGAAAUCAUAGUACCUGUGAAGAUGCAGGUUACCCGCGACAGGACGGAAAGACCCCGUGGAGCUUUACUGUAGCCUGAUAUUGAAAUUCGGCACAGCUUGUACAGGAUAGGUAGGAGCCUUUGAAACGUGAGCGCUAGCUUACGUGGAGGCGCUGGUGGGAUACUACCCUAGCUG
Molecule: ribosomal RNA, 2201 nt
Filed under: Staphylococcus aureus
Lineage: Bacteria; Bacillati; Bacillota; Bacilli; Caryophanales; Staphylococcaceae
Description: partial 23S ribosomal RNA
Rfam family: Bacterial large subunit ribosomal RNA
Source: RNAcentral